AAGGUCCCUCGCAGUUUCCCAUUGCUGGAAGAACAUGAAGGGGGCCAGAAAAGAGGAGAUGGCACAGUUAACUGGGGUCUGGAAGAUGACAAAGACAUGUCACUUACAGGAUGGACAGGAAUGAUGACUGGGCCUCCGAGAAUAAUUUAUGAAAACCAAAUAUCCAGCCUUAAAGUAGAAUGUGGACCUAAAUACCCAGAAGCACCCGCUCUGUAAGAUUUGUAAUGAAAAUUAAUAUGGAGUUAAUAGUUCCAAUGGAGUGGUGGGCCCAAGAUCCAUAUCAGUGCUAGCAAAAUGGCAGAAUUCUUAAAGCAUCAAAGUUGUCCUGCAAGAGCUUUGGCGCCCAACGAUAUCUAAAGAAAAUAUGAAAACUCCCUUAGCCUCCUGAAGGACAAUGUUACAGCA
RNAcentral lists this long non-coding RNA (405 nucleotides) under Homo sapiens (human). RNAcentral describes it as "non-protein coding lnc-TDRD1-3:1". The record is from RNAcentral. Lineage: Eukaryota; Metazoa; Chordata; Mammalia; Primates; Hominidae.